GCUGGUGAUAAAGGCGAAGAGGUCACACCCGUUCCCAUACCGAACACGGAAGUUAAGCUCUUCAGCGCCGAUGGUAGUUGGGGGCUGUCCCCCUGCGAGAGUAGGACGUUGCCAGUA
RNAcentral lists this ribosomal RNA (117 nucleotides) under Sutcliffiella sp. NC1. The record is from RNAcentral. Lineage: Bacteria; Bacillati; Bacillota; Bacilli; Caryophanales; Bacillaceae.